RNAcentral lists this ribosomal RNA (480 nucleotides) under Candida tropicalis. Its description in RNAcentral is "eukaryotic LSU rRNA". The stretch from base 130 to 283 matches the Rfam family "5.8S ribosomal RNA". Lineage: Eukaryota; Fungi; Ascomycota; Pichiomycetes; Serinales; Debaryomycetaceae. The record is from RNAcentral.
UUAUUGCACCACAUGUGUUUUUUAUUGAACAAAUUUCUUUGGUGGCGGGAGCAAUCCUACCGCCAGAGGUUAUAACUAAACCAAACUUUUUAUUUACAGUCAAACUUGAUUUAUUAUUACAAUAGUCAAAACUUUCAACAACGGAUCUCUUGGUUCUCGCAUCGAUGAAGAACGCAGCGAAAUGCGAUACGUAAUAUGAAUUGCAGAUAUUCGUGAAUCAUCGAAUCUUUGAACGCACAUUGCGCCCUUUGGUAUUCCAAAGGGCAUGCCUGUUUGAGCGUCAUUUCUCCCUCAAACCCCCGGGUUUGGUGUUGAGCAAUACGCUAGGUUUGUUUGAAAGAAUUUAACGUGGAAACUUAUUUUAAGCGACUUAGGUUUAUCCAAAAACGCUUAUUUUGCUAGUGGCCACCACAAUUUAUUUCAUAACUUUGACCUCAAAUCAGGUAGGACUACCCGCUGAACUUAACCAUAUCAUAAGCC